Long non-coding RNA from Cyprinus carpio (common carp), 203 nucleotides. The record is from Ensembl. NCBI's taxonomy places the organism in Eukaryota, Metazoa, Chordata, Actinopteri, Cypriniformes, Cyprinidae.
CGUGAGGUUUGCAGAUUUCCAUGAGAAUGCCGUUCUGGAAGUUUAACGGACACAUUGCAAGUAAACUGGGGCUAGUUGUCACAAGAUCUCAGUACAUCUAUCAUUAAUCAGCAAAUCCUCUGUAAAAAAAACGGCAGAAAGUGAUCAAAGGCACACAGGGAGAGAGAGUAUUCAAACGUGGAGCGGCCCAGACAAUAAGAAGA